Molecule: transfer RNA, 66 nt
Filed under: Alobaldia tobae
Lineage: Eukaryota; Metazoa; Arthropoda; Insecta; Hemiptera; Cicadellidae
Description: tRNA-Val
Source: RNAcentral
CAGAUUGUAGCUUAUUAUAAAGCUUUUUAGUUACAUUAAAAUGAAAAUUAUUAAAUUUUGUCUGAA